UGGGGAAUAUUGGACAAUGGGCGCAAGCCUGAUCCAGCAAUGCCGCGUGGGUGAAGAAGGUCUUCGGAUCGUAAAGCCCUUUCGACAGGGACGAUGAUGACGGUACCUGUAGAAGAAGCCCCGGCUAACUACGUGCCAGCAGCCGCGGUAAUACGUAGGGGGCAAGCGUUGUCCGGAUUUACUGGGUGUAAAGGGCGCGCAGGCGGGAUAAAAAGUCAGUGGUGAAAUCCUACAGCUUAACUGUAGAACUGCCUUUGAUACUUUUAUUCUUGAGUUCGGGAGAGAGAGACGGAAUUCCAGGUGUAGUGGUGAAAUACGUAGAUAUCUGGAAGAACACCAGUUGCGAAGGCGGUCUCUUGGUCCGACACUGACGCUGAGGCGCGAAAGCGUGGGGAGCAAACA
This 402-nucleotide ribosomal RNA is filed under the name uncultured bacterium. RNAcentral describes it as "bacterial SSU rRNA". It matches the Rfam family "Bacterial small subunit ribosomal RNA", at positions 355 to 774 of the family's 1533-position model. The record is from RNAcentral.